UACGAAGGGGGGCUAGCGUUGCUCGGAAUCACUGGGCGUAAAGGGUGCGUAGGCGGGUCUUUAAGUCAGGGGUGAAAUCCUGGAGCUCAACUCCAGAACUGCCUUUGAUACUGAGGAUCUUGAGUUCGGGAGAGGUGAGUGGAACUGCGAGUGUAGAGGUGAAAUUCGUAGAUAUUCGCAAGAACACCAGUGGCGAAGGCGGCUCACUGGCCCGAUACUGACGCUGAGGCACGAAAGCGUGGGGAGCAAACAGGAUUAGAAACCCGUGGUACGU
RNAcentral lists this ribosomal RNA (274 nucleotides) under uncultured bacterium. RNAcentral describes it as "partial 16S ribosomal RNA". It matches the Rfam family "Bacterial small subunit ribosomal RNA", at positions 524 to 794 of the family's 1533-position model. The record is from RNAcentral.